GAGAUCAAAGAAGAUCCGUCUUUCAAGGGCUUAAAAUAGUAUCUGAGUGGGGAAAGGCAGUGUCAUUCAUCUAGAAGGGAACUAAUGCUUGCGCCUGUCUGACCAGGAGCUUUGGGCCGGCUGUGGCCCAGGUAAGGGCUCUGUGUGCAACACGAAGAGGUACUACCUGAGAAGUUUUCGAAACAGGAAGAGCUAGGAGCCAGCCCUGGCCACGAGGCUCAAGUCCUGAACCUCAGGUCAGUUUGAUGCAGUUGCCAGACCCUCUAGACCCUCUGACUCCCCCUCUCUGGACCUCUAUAAUCCCCUGGACUAUUUCUCAAGAUAUGGUUGCCAUCCAUCUCUGAGCUUCCUAAAAUGUUAGUGAAAAUUCAGAAUCCUGGGUCUGACUUUAGAGCUCCUGAAUCAAAAUCUCCAGAGGAGAUGCCCAAGAACCUGUAUUUUAGGAAGCUCUGCACUUGCUUGGGGGUCCUUGAACUUGGAACAGGAAGGGCAGACUGCCGCUACCAGCAGGUGAAUGGAGGUUUGGAUCAUGUGAAUUCUGGGACAGGCAGAGCAAGGAGAAGAGCUGGUCUUAUCUAACCCUCACAACGUCCUUAGGAGGUAGUGGUCAAACCCAUUUCAGGAAGAUACUGAGCCCCAGAGACAUAGCAAGUAUCCCAUUUGGAAGGUCUUGCUUGCACCCUAGAGGAAUCCACACAAUAUGGUACCUUGUGUAAUAAACUAAGGUCAUUUUAGGUCACCAGGUCCUAGCUCAAGCAGGGAUGGUCACAUGCCACAGAGGAAUUAAGGCACAGAAUAGGUGAGCCACGCCCUGCUGUGUGCAAUGGAAGGUCUGGGUGGAGUAGCUGGAGGAUCCCGGAGGUGGGAGGUCUCACUCUCCUCUUUAAGCAAUUGGAAUAAAUCCAAUGUCUCUUCCGUGGCAAGCUAAAUGUUGUUUUCGAGUCUGGAGCCUUGUUUGUAUAUUUUGAAUAAAUUUGAUAAUUAAGCCACACAUGCUCCCAGCACACUUGGAUAUAUUUAAAUUACAAGCUUUUGAUCUAAUGAAGAAAAAUCACAAAUAUGGGCCAAAGCAAUGGCUCUUUGUGUGUGUGGUGCCUUUCACAACACUCAAAUGGGUCCGUGAGCUUAAUGGCCAAUUCCAAAG
Molecule: long non-coding RNA, 1144 nt
Filed under: Marmota monax (woodchuck)
Lineage: Eukaryota; Metazoa; Chordata; Mammalia; Rodentia; Sciuridae
Source: RNAcentral